This 57-nucleotide transfer RNA is filed under the name Bos taurus (domestic cattle). It matches the Rfam family "tRNA", at positions 8 to 63 of the family's 71-position model. From Rfam's summary of the family: Transfer RNA (tRNA) molecules are approximately 80 nucleotides in length. RNAcentral also lists the same sequence under 2 other names. Lineage: Eukaryota; Metazoa; Chordata; Mammalia; Artiodactyla; Bovidae. The record is from Rfam by way of RNAcentral.
UGGCUCAGACGAUAAAGCAUCUGCCUGCAAUGCGGGAGACCCGGGUUCGAAUCCUGG